This 340-nucleotide unclassified non-coding RNA is filed under the name soil metagenome. RNAcentral describes it as "partial contains 5.8S ribosomal RNA, internal transcribed spacer 2, and large subunit ribosomal RNA". The stretch from base 1 to 120 matches the Rfam family "5.8S ribosomal RNA", at positions 35 to 154 of the family's 154-position model. The record is from RNAcentral.
GAUGAAGAACGUAGCGAAAUGCGAUAAGUAGUGUGAAUUGCAGAAUUCAGUGAAUCAUCGAAUCUUUGAACGCACAUUGCGCCCUUUGGUAUUCCAAAGGGCAUGCCUGUUCGAGCGUCAUUUGUACCCUCAAGCUUUGCUUGGUGUUGGGCGUCUUGUCUCUAGCUUUGCUGGAGACUCGCCUUAAAGUAAUUGGCAGCCGGCCUACUGGUUUCGGAGCGCAGCACAAGUCGCACUCUCUAUCAGCAAAGGUCUAGCAUCCAUUAAGCCUUUUUUUCAACUUUUGACCUCGGAUCAGGUAGGGAUACCCGCUGAACUUAAGCAUAUCAAUAAGGGAGGA